RNAcentral lists this ribosomal RNA (981 nucleotides) under Salmonella enterica subsp. enterica serovar Paratyphi B var. L(+) tartrate +. RNAcentral describes it as "partial 23S ribosomal RNA". It matches the Rfam family "Bacterial large subunit ribosomal RNA", at positions 532 to 1330 of the family's 2925-position model. Lineage: Bacteria; Pseudomonadati; Pseudomonadota; Gammaproteobacteria; Enterobacterales; Enterobacteriaceae. The record is from RNAcentral.
AGGGGAGUGAAAAAGAACCUGAAACCGUGUACGUACAAGCAGUGGGAGCCCCACCACUAAGCCAGUGGUGAACUCCACAUACGCAUCCUUUGCUGAGGAUACGGUUAACGGAGCGAAAGCGACGUUCAACCGCAAAAGAAGCAGAGGGGGCUUAGUGGUGGGGUGACUGCGUACCUUUUGUAUAAUGGGUCAGCGACUUAUAUUCUGUAGCAAGGUUAACCGUAUAGGGGAGCCGGAGGGAAACCGAGUCUUAACCGGGCGUUAAGUUGCAGGGUAUAGACCCGAAACCCGGUGAUCUAGCCAUGGGCAGGUUGAAGGUUGGGUAACACUAACUGGAGGACCGAACCGACUAAUGUUGAAAAAUUAGCGGAUGACCUGUGGCUGGGGGUGAAAGGCCAAUCAAACCGGGAGAUAGCUGGUUCUCCCCGAAAGCUAUUUAGGUAGCGCCUCGUGAAUUCAUCUCCGGGGGUAGAGCACUGUUUCGGCUAGGGGGCCAUCCCGGCUUACCAACCCGAUGCAAACUGCGAAUACCGGAGAAUGUUAUCACGGGAGACACACGGCGGGUGCUAACGUCCGUCGUGAAGAGGGAAACAACCCAGACCGCCAGCUAAGGUCCCAAAGUCAUGGUUAAGUGGGAAACGAUGUGGGAAGGCCCAGACAGCCAGGAUGUUGGCUUAGAAGCAGCCAUCAUUUAAAGAAAGCGUAAUAGCUCACUGGUCGAGUCGGCCUGCGCGGAAGAUGUAACGGGGCUAAACCAUGCACCGAAGCUGCGGCAGCGAACGUAUCACUUAAAGCGAUUCAGCGGGUUACGAUUGACGGAGCGAAGCGACGUCAAAGCGUAUACAAAGUCGAGUCGGUUUAAGGAUACGUUCGUUGGGUAGGGGAGCGUUCUGUAAGCCCGUGAAGGUGGCCUGUGAGGGUUGCUGGAGGUAUCAGAAGUGCGAAUGCUGACAUAAGUAACGAUAAAGCGGGUGAAAAGCC